RNAcentral lists this long non-coding RNA (3633 nucleotides) under Sus scrofa (pig). RNAcentral's name for it is "lncRNA (ENSSSCG00060050785.1)". Lineage: Eukaryota; Metazoa; Chordata; Mammalia; Artiodactyla; Suidae. The record is from RNAcentral.
UUAUUCAUAAAAAAAAUUUUUAGAGCCACCCCUGCAGUAUAUGAAGGUUUCCAGGCUAGGGGUACAAUCGGAGCCGUAGCUGCUGGCCUAUACCACAGCCACAGCAACCCAGGAUCCAAGUCGCUUCUGCAACCUAUACCACAGCUCACAGCAAUGCCUGAUCCUUAACCCAAUGAGUGAGGCCAGGGAUCGAACCUGCAUCCUUACGGAUGCUAGUCAGAUUCACUUCCGCUGAGCCACACUGGGAACUCUCAAUUUAUUCUAAUAUUGUAAAACAGCUGUCUUUCAGCAACAUUUAUUUUUGUCCAAGGUGUGCAAGCCAGCUAGGAUGGCUCUGCCUCAGACAUGGGUAGGUUCAGAUACAUUCCACCUCUGGACCACAACAAAUUCUUCCCAGAGCAAUGACAAAAGAGUAAGAGAACAAACUCAACCAUAUAAGCAACCUCAACUAAUGUCACCCAAGUCAGCUGGGUGAACCUGUUAGGUGUGGGGGCAAGGAAGAUAUUCCUCCGACAGUGGGAAGCACUGCAAACUCACAGGUCUAAGAAUGUGGAUGUAUGCAUCCCUCACAGGCAGUAAUCUAAUCUAAUCUACAGUGAAAGCAAAAAUAAAACUGCAGAGGAAGAAAGUGAACCACUGAGCAGUUUUCAACAGGGCUGACAUCCAAUCACAGACCAGAUGUGGAAAUUGGCAAGUGGGGGUGGUACUCAUUUUCCGGAGAGGUGGGCCCUGAGCUAGUGUAAUCAGAGUUUUGGAGAUCUUCAGAACUCAUUGGCAAAGUGAAAGUCACAAUAUCAGAAGCAAUCUGCAGGUUAAGUACGAACCAAGUUUUAUGCCUGUGUCAGCCUCUGUGACAGGAAUCUCAGGAACAAUUAGGCAUGUGCCCUGUUGUACUCCAGUUCCCAGAGCACUGAUUGAGCUGCAAGUAAACUAAACCCUGUGAGCAAAGCCUGAGGCCUUGGAACCAGAGGACAAGUAUAUUUUGAAUAUAUGAAAUAAUUACACUAAAUAAAAUUUCUGAAAAUCUUAUCAUGCAGCCAAGUUCUGAGUAAUGUUCAUAAAAUUGAUGGAAUUAAAGCUGAAGUCUAACAGCUUUGAUAUGCCUAUUUGUACACAUCCCAGUUUUGUCAAGAAUUACUGUCUCUUAAAACAUCAACAGCUCAUUGUGAGAGAUAGUGUAUUAGGUGCAAAUUUUAUUUUUAUAUAAAUAAGUUCGAAGAAACAUUGAAAAUGCUCUUACAUAAAUGAUAAAAUCUGCAUUUCAACUAUCACAUAAACUAUGAUCACUACCUUUCCAUGCAUCUUACCCAAAUAUCAGUGUUCAAUUCUAAGUCCAACUGCUGAAAAACUUUGGAUGCCUAAUAGAAAAAUGCUUCAGUGUGCCACCCAAGUUGCUUUUUCCACUCAUCAUUGUGUUUGCGAGAUUUUUCUCUUAAAACAUGUAGUUUUAGUUCACUUAUUUUCAGUGCACUAUUGCAUCCCACUGCCUGUGUAUUCUGUUUUGAAAAUUCAUUCUUAUAUUAAUAGUUAUUCAAAGUUAUUACUUCAGUUUGCCACCCCCAAAUAUUCUUUCUCCUUCCUUUAUCAUUUUUUCUUACAUAUAUCCUCACGUCACUACCUCAGAGGCAUGCAUCAUGGUUGGCAUUCAGCACCACAGGGAGAGAGGCCCGAUGGGGUGAUAUGCUGCCUCUCCACAACAUUGUAUUCAUGACAGAGGCUAAAACUAUUCUAUUAAGAGGAACAUUCAAGAUGCUCUGGUCUGAACCAGGCUUUUGGAUCCUGACUAGCUUGCUCAUACAGCUGUAGUCAGUUAAUGGGAGGCUGCCUGGUCCACGAUGGUCCCACAUUUCUGGAGGAAGGGUGGCUGUUGGCUAGGGCAAAGAGCAUCUGGGCACAUAUCCCUGAUCUUCCAACAGGCUCCAAAAGCAAGGCACCAAGAUGGAAUCAGAAGCUCCCAAGGUCCUUUUAAGUUUAGGUGUAGGUUAUAUAUCGCUUCUCCCACAUUUUACUGCCCAAAGCAAAAUACACAACCAGAUCCCAUUCAAGGGCAAUAUUCUAGUUAUCUACUUCGAUAAAACAAACCACCUCAAACAAUCAUUUACUUUGCUCACCAAUCUGCCAUUUGGUCAGGGCUCAGUGGGGACAACUCAUCUCUGCUCCACUAGAUGUCAGCCGGACAGCUAGACUAAGGCUUGAGGGUCUGCUUCCAAAAUGGCUCUGUCACAUGGCUGGCAAAUUUCUCUCCAGGUAAGACUCUCAGGGGGUGGGUUACAUUUCUUACAUCAUGGGAGAUGGAUCCUAAAAGACAGGAAAUGCAAGCCACUAGUUUAAAGUUUGGCCCAGAAACUGGUACAGCAUCACUUCUGACAAGCCCUUACCACCUACAUUCAAUGAAAAUGAACAUAUCUGUUGAAUGAAAGGAAUGUCAGAGAAUUGGGGGCCUAUAUAAUAAAACUGCCAUAAGUAGGCUCUCGACUCCUACUUUGAUGGGAGAAGUGAUAUGUCACUUUGUAAAGGAAUGAACACUGGAAGAGGUAAAGAGUUGUUGCCAUAUUCACAAUCAUUUUGAGCAGCAAGAGAAGAGAUUUCUGGUUCAAUAUUUCUUCUGCAUCCUUAACUAAGCUAUUAUUUACUUGUCUCAGCCUUAUAUUAACUAUAACUUAUCAAAAAGUAAAUUUAGAAAUGCUACUCUAAUUAUUUAAAUGGCUUAAAGGAUUUUAUAUAGAAAGGCUUUACAAGUGCCUCACUUUUAUUUCAAAAUAAAUGUUAGUACUUUAGCUCCCCUUAAAGGACUGUGGAAUCAUGUUUUAUUUAUGGAAUAACUAUUAUGCAACAAGAGUGCAGAUAAUCAUUUUAUUCCACUCAAUGGGAUGAACACAGCCAUUUCUGCAUAGAAAAGACAGUCAAGUAGUCAAUUACAGCUGUGUGAUCAAUGUAAAAUCUCCAAUUUACGUGAACUGCAGAGUCAUUACUUAGACAUGGGGCAGAAAAUUUUGUAAGCUGUAGCCACCCUGUAUCUUAUUUCGCCUGUCUUCUUGUGCCCGAUGAACCGCAGUUAAAUGACCUAGAGGCCAACCAAACAGAGUUAUUGACCCUCUCCAAUCUCAUUUAUACUCUUCACACAUGGCUCCACAGGCACAGCCACUCCUUCAGGGAAAAAAUUCUAAACUUUAGGCAUCAAUUAUAUUCCCAAAUCUUUGUUUUCUUUUCCUAGAUUUCAGGAAAAAGAUCUGACCUCCUGGAAGUCCCAAAUAUAAAAUAUCUCUAGCAUCCACCUAGCAUUGUUUGAUAAGCCUAGUCUAAAAACUCCACGCCCAUCCCACCUCCUGGCCAGCACUGAGGUGGUGAUAGCUCUGACCCACUGAGCCACGGAUCAAGACAAUUUGAGUCUGUCUCCCUAGUAUGUGCUUUUCAACUGCUUUCAGUCAGGACUGCAUUUGGCAACAAGUAAUGGAAAAUCUUACAGAUAGUGGCUUUUAAAAACUGAAUUGUCUUUUUCCUUUUUAAAUUUUUAUUUAUUUUUAAAUGAAGUAUAGUUGAUUUAUAAUGUGUUAAUUUCAGGUAAACAGCAGAUUAUAUAUUUAUUCUUUAUAUUGAUUCAGAUAUAAUAGAUAUUUAGAUAUAUCUAUUCUU